Molecule: non-coding RNA, 21 nt
Filed under: Arabidopsis thaliana (thale cress)
Lineage: Eukaryota; Viridiplantae; Streptophyta; Magnoliopsida; Brassicales; Brassicaceae
Source: RNAcentral
UCAGAAUCCGGGCUAGAAGCG